UCAUGAGAGACUUUUAUCAAAUGCCUUGCUAAAAUUAGAUUCCUUGUGUCUGUAGCAUUCUUCUGAUUGCUCUGUUCAGUUUGGGGUGUCAUAUUUUAAGAGAGAUCUUAAAAAACUGGUGGAGUUCCAGAGGAGGGCAAAUAGGACAGCUGGAGGACUUGAAACAAGGUUGCAUGAAGAACAGUUGAAGGCCCCAGGGAAUAUUUAGUUUAGAUAAGAGAAGACUUCUGGGAGGCAAAGGGGAAAGUGAUAGGUAUUUCUGAAAGGGCUUGGCAGCCCUAUGAGGCUAGUUAGGAAUGACUUGUUUUUAGUAGCCAACAUUGUCUCCUAUUGAUCACCAGCUUCCUUUUCAAACUGUCCAUCAGUCAGUCAAGAAACAUUAAGUGCCUACUAUGUGCCAGGCACUGGAGCUACAAAGAAAAGCUAAAAAACGAAUCUUGUUCUCUAAGAGCUCAUUGACCAGGAGAAGAGACAAUACACAAACAAAUUAUCUACAGGAUAAAUUGGCAAUGAUCAACAGAAUUAAGCAGAAUGGGGAAAGGCUUCCUUUAAUAGCUGGAAUUUUUGCUGGGAGUAGAAGAAAGUUAGGAAAACCAGGAGACAGAGAUGAAAAAGGAAAGUAUUCUAGGAGGUCAGGUCCACUUCCUCCCCCUCCCAAUGAGAACCCACAUCCUCCGGUGAGAGAUCCACCAAGCAGAUCAGGACCUCUCCCACCACUUCCACCUAUAAACAGAAAUGGCAAUACUUCCCGAGCACUGCCUUCUACUCCUCAACUGCCUUCCAGAGGUGGCUUAGAAAACCAGAGAGGUGGCCCAAGGCCUCCUCUUCCUCCAGACAGGCCUGGCUCUGGAGCUCUACCUCCCCCACCACCCUCAUCUUCAAUGAGAAAUGGCUUCCAAGAUUUAUCAUGUGAAGAUGAAAAGGGAAAGCAGAUUCUACUUCCAUCCGCUGUCUGAUUUGCCACCUCCAGAGCCAUAUGUACCAAUGAGCAAGAAUUACCCCAGUAAAGUGGCAAGAAAUGAAAGCCGAAGUGGCUCCAACAGGAGGGAAAGAGGUGCUCCCCCACUUCCCCCCAUCCCCAAGUGAAUGGGGUGGUCGACCUGCCUCAGCCAAUCACUCUAUUUACCUGAACUGAAGAGCUGCUUCUGUUAUCACCAUUGGAAAAUCUGUCCCUUCACUCCCCUUCUUGCCCCCAUCAUUGCCUCUUUUUUUAUGCUCCCUUCAUGUGGCUGAAGGGUAAAAAAUGGGGAUAUAUUGGCUAUAUGUAUAGAUUUUGUGGAUUUACCAAAAACCAAAUAAUAAAAUGCACAUAGCAUUUAAAAAAAAAUAAGAA
RNAcentral lists this long non-coding RNA (1333 nucleotides) under Monodelphis domestica (gray short-tailed opossum). RNAcentral's name for it is "lncRNA (ENSMODG00000029255.2)". Lineage: Eukaryota; Metazoa; Chordata; Mammalia; Didelphimorphia; Didelphidae. The record is from RNAcentral.